This 381-nucleotide ribosomal RNA is filed under the name uncultured archaeon. RNAcentral describes it as "bacterial SSU rRNA". It matches the Rfam family "Archaeal small subunit ribosomal RNA", at positions 471 to 851 of the family's 1478-position model. The record is from RNAcentral.
UAAUCCCGGCGCCCCAAAUGGUGACCGCGUUUAUUGGGCCUACAGCAUCCGUAGCCGGUCAAGUAAGUUUUCGGUGAAAUCCGGCGGCUUAAUCGUCGGGCGUGCCGGAAAUACUACUUGACUUGAGAUCGGGAGGAGCUGGGGGAAUGCCAUGGGGAGCGGUAAAAUGUUGUAAUCCAUGGUGGACCAUCGGUGGCGAAGGCGCCCAGCUAGAACGAGUCUGACGGUGAGGGAUGAAAGCUAGGGGAGCGAUCGGGAUUAGAUACCCCGGUAGUCCUAGCCGUAAACGCUGCCUGUUUGGUGCUGCAUUUCUUUCGAGGAGACGCAGUUCCGUAGCGAAGGUGUUAAACAGGCCGCCUGGGGAGUACGGUCGCAAGGCUG